Molecule: ribosomal RNA, 468 nt
Filed under: uncultured bacterium
Lineage: Bacteria
Description: partial 16S ribosomal RNA
Rfam family: Bacterial small subunit ribosomal RNA
Source: RNAcentral
GACGAACGCUGGCGGCGUGCUUAACACAUGCAAGUCGAACGGUGAAGCGAGUGCUUGCACUCGUGGAUCAGUGGCGAACGGGUGAGUAACACGUGAGUAACCUGCCCAUCACUCUGGGAUAAGCACUGGAAACGGUGUUUAAUACUGGAUACGACCAACCCUUGCAUGGGGUGUUGGUGGAAAGAUUUAUCGGUGAUGGAUGGACUCGCGGCCUAUCAGCUUGUUGGCGGGGUAAUGGCCCACCAAGGCGACGACGGGUAGCCGGCCUGAGAGGGUGACCGGCCACACUGGGACUGAGACACGGCCCAGACUCCUACGGGAGGCAGCAGUGGGGAAUAUUGCACAAUGGGCGAAAGCCUGAUGCAGCGACGCCGCGUGAGGGAUGACGGCCUUCGGGUGGUAAACCUCUUUCAGCAGGGAAGAAGCGAAAGUGACGGUACCUGCAGAAGAAGCACCGGCUAACUACGG